GCUUUCCUGUGGCUCAGUCAGUAGAUCACUGUGCAAUCAACGCAAAGGUCGUGGGUUCAAACCUCAGGGACAGCA
Molecule: transfer RNA, 75 nt
Filed under: Danionella cerebrum
Lineage: Eukaryota; Metazoa; Chordata; Actinopteri; Cypriniformes; Danionidae
Description: tRNA-Asp
Source: RNAcentral